UACGUAGGUGGCAAGCGUUGUCCGGAAUUAUUGGGCGUAAAGAGCGCGCAGGCGGUCCGUUAAGUCUGAUGUGAAAGCCUACGGCUCAACCGUGGAGGGGCAUUGGAUACGGGGGAACUAGAGUGCAGAAGAGGAAAGUGGAAUUCCAUGUGUAGCGGUGAAAUGCGUAGAGAUGAGGAGGAACACCAGUGGCGAAGGCGACUUUCUGGGCUGUAACUGACGCUGAGGCGCGAAAGCGUGGGGAGCAAACAGG
Molecule: unclassified non-coding RNA, 253 nt
Filed under: uncultured Caryophanaceae bacterium
Lineage: Bacteria; Bacillati; Bacillota; Bacilli; Caryophanales; Caryophanaceae
Description: uncultured Planococcaceae bacterium contains 16S-23S intergenic spacer region
Rfam family: Bacterial small subunit ribosomal RNA
Source: RNAcentral